This is a long non-coding RNA of Metopolophium dirhodum (rose-grain aphid), 1556 nucleotides long. RefSeq lists it as uncharacterized. The transcript is spliced from 7 exons. The record is from RefSeq and is a predicted model, not a curated record. NCBI's taxonomy places the organism in Eukaryota, Metazoa, Arthropoda, Insecta, Hemiptera, Aphididae.
UUGAAGCACUCGCGAAUUGCAAUUAUUUGAAAUUUGAACAAAAAUACAGACCACAGUCGUACAGAGUUUUAGUAGUUCUAUUCAUACAUAUUAUUACAUAAUCACCAUGAAUAAGUGUAUUGUUUUUAGUAAAACAACUGAAGUAUCGCCUAGCCAUAUUAUGUUAGUUUUAAUUUCGUGACGUUGCUACUCGUUGCUGGUCAUUAGCAGACAAAAUAUUGCACAAAUGCUCGAGAUGUGCAUGACGGCUAUGUAAGUGUGUCCGUCAGGAGAGUCGUCACGGGAGAGAGUAUACAGGAUAAUUCUGCCGACUUAGAUGAAGACAUACAAUAUUGAAGCGAAUUAUGAAGCUUAAAGGCGAUACAAUUUUGCUGAGCAAGAAUCUAAUUUCAAUAACACAGAGGGCCUCAACAUAUUUAAAUUGCACGACUAGUAAAUCGCAUCUAAGAGAAAAUCAUAUUUCUCCAACUAUGAGUUUGAAGAAAAUGAACAGACAAAUAAAGGAUUUGGAGACGUUGCAGUUGAUUAAUUUAAUUCACCCAGAAAAUCCUUAAAAACUUAAUAAUGCCUAAUUCACAUACACUUAUAGUUGACACACAUAUUUUAAAUGUGUCUUGUUCUAAACAAUUGGAUCAAAAGCCACAUCCAGCUAUUAUCACACCCAUCAUUUGUGAUAUCGUAACUACUGUACCAAAUUUUUGGACAGACCUGGCUUCACGUGUCUGAAUGUUGCCGUAUGGUGUAGCUGUAUGGUGAGCUGUGAAAAGAUAUAUCAUAUUGAAGAUGUUGCUGAUUGGCUGUUAAAAACUUUGAAGUUUCCUACAAAGAGGAAAGACGAAGUUCUUUGGAAGAAGACUAAGCGAACACCAAUUACCUUCAGUUGCACUCUGAAUCAUGUUUGUGAUUAAAAUUAUUCGUCAUAGACUUAUUUAUAAUUAUAAGAAUACAUUAUUUUUAAAUUUUAUAAUUAGAGAAAAAAGUAUUUAAAAUCUUUAUUAAUUAUACUAUCGUAGUUUUCAUAUUUGUUGUAUUUAUAGUUUAAUUGUAAUUUAAAAUUUAGAAAUAUAUGACUAACGUGCUGUAAUUAAUUGUUAUAUUUACAGCAGUUUUUUGUACAUACUAAAUAAGAAAGUCUUACUAAAUAAGAAGAAAUAAAUUACAAUAUAAUAUUAAAUGUAACUCUAUACAUAUAAAACAAUUAAAAAAAUUUGUUUUUUAUGUCUAUGGAUAUAAGAAAACUUUAAACUAAGUCUUAUAACUAAUAUGUUAGUUUCAACUAUUUAACUUAAGUUUUAUGUUUUUUAUUUACAUUUUAUUAUGAUUAGAGCACAAAUUUGUAUGUGUUUGCAUAUUUGUUCUGGGUGAUAGUAUAAUAUGCUAAGUGAGCACAGAAUUUGUUUCAUGACCAUAACAAUUUUGAACUGUGAAACUUUUGGGAUGCAUAUUUUGACAACUAACUCAUUUUUUUGUAUUGUAAAUCAAUUUUGUAUUGCUUUCAUGCAAUUGUUCAGUUGUGGAAUUUUAAUUUUGAAUGUUUAUUGUUGACUUGUUUUGAA